GGUGGCGAAGGCGGGCCCCCUGGACAGAUACUGACACUCAGAUGCGAAAAGCGUGGGGAGCAAACAGGAUUAGAUACCCUGGUAGUCCACGCCGUAAACGAUGUCUACUUGGAGGUUGUGGCCUUGAGCCGUGGCUUUCGGAGCUAACGCGUUAAGUAGACCGCCUGGGGAGUACGGUCGCAAGAUUAAAACUCAAAUGAAUUGACGGGGGCCCGCACAAGCGGUGGAGCAUGUGGUUUAAUUCGAUGCAACGCGAAGAACCUUACCUACUCUUGACAUCUACAGAAGCCAGCGGAGACGCAGGUGUGCCUUCGGGAACUGUAAGACAGGUGCUGCAUGGCUGUCGUCAGCUCGUGUUGUGAAAUGUUGGGUUAAGUCCCGCAACGAGCGCAACCCUUAUCCUUGUUUGCCAGCACUUCGGGUGGGAACUCCAGGGAGACUGCCGGUGAUAAACCGGAGGAAGGUGGGGACGACGUCAAGUCAUCAUGGCCCUUACGAGUAGGGCUACACACGUGCUACAAUGGCGCAUACAGAGGGCAGCCAACUUGCGAAAGUGAGCGAAUCCCAAAAAGUGCGUCGUAGUCCGGAUUGGAGUCUGCAACUCGACUCCAUGAAGUCGGAAUCGCUAGUAAUCGUGGAUCAGAAUGCCACGGUGAAUACGUUCCCGGGCCUUGUACACACCGCCCGUCACACCAUGGGAGUGGGCUGCAAAAGAAGUGGGUAGUUUAACCUUCGGGAGGACGCUCACCACUUUGUGGUUCAUGACUGGGGUGAAGUCGUAACAAGGUAACCG
Molecule: ribosomal RNA, 793 nt
Filed under: uncultured bacterium
Lineage: Bacteria
Description: bacterial SSU rRNA
Rfam family: Bacterial small subunit ribosomal RNA
Source: RNAcentral